AGUGAACGCUGGCGGUAGGCCUAACACAUGCAAGUCGAACGGCAGCACAGUAAGAGCUUGCUCUUACGGGUGGCGAGUGGCGGACGGGUGAGGAAUACAUCGGAAUCUACUUUUUCGUGGGGGAUAACGUAGGGAAACUUACGCUAAUACCGCAUACGACCUACGGGUGAAAGCAGGGGAUCUUCGGACCUUGCGCGAUUGAAUGAGCCGAUGUCGGAUUAGCUAGUUGGCGGGGUAAAGGCCCACCAAGGCGACGAUCCGUAGCUGGUCUGAGAGGAUGAUCAGCCACACUGGAACUGAGACACGGUCCAGACUCCUACGGGAGGCAGCAGUGGGGAAUAUUGGACAAUGGGCGCAAGCCUGAUCCAGCCAUACCGCGUGGGUGAAGAAGGCCUUCGGGUUGAAAAGCCCUUUUGUUGGGAAAGAAAAGCAGCAGGUUAAUACCCCGCUGUUCUGACGGUACCCAAAGAAGAAGCACCGGCUAACUUCGU
This 491-nucleotide ribosomal RNA is filed under the name uncultured bacterium. RNAcentral describes it as "partial 16S ribosomal RNA". It matches the Rfam family "Bacterial small subunit ribosomal RNA", at positions 29 to 506 of the family's 1533-position model. The record is from RNAcentral.